AUUGAACGCUGGCGGCAGGCCUAACACAUGCAAGUCGAGCGGAUGAAGGGAGCUUGCUCCUGGAUUCAGCGGCGGACGGGUGAGUAAUGCCUAGGAAUCUGCCUGGUAGUGGGGGAUAACGUCCGGAAACGGGCGCUAAUACCGCAUACGUCCUGAGGGAGAAAGUGGGGGAUCUUCGGACCUCACGCUAUCAGAUGAGCCUAGGUCGGAUUAGCUAGUUGGUGGGGUAAAGGCCUACCAAGGCGACGAUCCGUAACUGGUCUGAGAGGAUGAUCAGUCACACUGGAACUGCGACACGGACAAGACUCCUACGGGAGGCAGCAGUGGGGAAUAUUGGACAAUGGGCGAAAGCCUGAUCCAGCCAUGCCGCGUGUGUGAAGACGGUCUUCGGAUUGUAAAGCACUUUAAGUUGGGAGGAAGGGCAGUAAGUUAAUACCUUGCUGUUUUGACGUUACCAACAGAAUAAGCACCGGCUAACUUCGUG
RNAcentral lists this ribosomal RNA (484 nucleotides) under uncultured bacterium. RNAcentral's name for it is "partial 16S ribosomal RNA". It matches the Rfam family "Bacterial small subunit ribosomal RNA", at positions 30 to 507 of the family's 1533-position model. The record is from RNAcentral.